UUUUCCAAAGUAUUAAAAGGUUUGUUUAUUUUUUUGUAGCAACUUUAUUUUCAGGACUCAUCAUCUAUAGUAUAAUUAUUAGAAAGAGUGACAACUGCAUUGCUUAAAGCUUUUUUCUAAAUAAACUCUCAAGUCUAAGUAGAAGUUCACCGUUAAAUAUUGGUGACUGUAAAAACCUGACCAUUUUUUGACCUCUCUGCAUUUGGACAUGAAGCCCAUUUCUGUAUUUUGAACUACACAGAAAAAAUACAGAAGACACUCUUAUUAUAAGGCUAGCAGGAAAAUUGAUUUGAGAUAUUGAGCAAAAAGUCUUCAGUCUCUUAGAAAAGAACUGUUUGGCACCUAGGCCUGCAGACCCUAAUGCAGAUGUAUUAAUUCUCAGCAAGGCUUUAUAGUUGUCCACAAUUUAUGAGCCUGGCCCAUGUGUUGAUCAACAAGGACCCAGUCCUGUAUAUUUUUCCCGGGCAGUCUUUGAUCGUAUGUGAGUGCUUAUGUGAUGAAGGAUUCUUUGCAUAUUGAAAGUAUGCCUGAUUGGACUGUUGGCUACUUAGAUAGCUCAGAGCCUUAUAGAAAGAGUGUACUGAGUUGUGUUUCUUGUUUAUUAAACAAACAAAACAAACAAAAGUCCCCAAGAACUCUGAGCUUCUGUUAACUUAGUAUUGAAAGGAAGCUGUUUGGAUGCAGUAUUUUGGCUUAAAACAUUUUGAAACCAAGUGGCUAAGUUUGGUGUAAUUUAGCUGAUGGAAACUGUAGAGAAGGAAUGAAAAAUCAUUUAAGGGGAUCUUCAGUUCUCACUCAAACAAAACAGUCAAGGUGUAUCUGCAGUGUUUGGUUAUUGAUCGGGAACUCUUGAAAUUUUAGAAUAGAAUAAUCCCCCUGAAGAAGUUUUUAAACAAUCUGGAGGUUACCAGAAGCUCUGAAAGACAGUUCAGAAUAUGUUGCAUCACAUUUUCUGAUGUCCAGAAAUGUGCAAGUGUCAAUUUUGUAUUUUAACUCCUUCCUUUUACCUGACUAUCAGGGAAGCGUGAUUGAGGCUGACCUGACAUGUCAUGAUGUCGACUUGCUAGGUGGGGUUCGCAAGGGACAUUAACCUUGGAGUUAUCGGUAAGACAACUUUCUUUCUAAUUUACUUUGGUAAGGUUAAAGGGCUUUGGGUGGGAGGGGUUGGGCUGGGGGGAGGAGGUGAUCUCCACAGCCCUGAUCACUGGAAUAUUGUUGAAAAUCUACUACUGCCAUGGAGAGAUUCCAAGCAUUGAAAAUAAAGGUGACUGGUGCUUCAAGAGAAAAAUGGAUGAUGCUAUUUUAGAGAUGCUGGAAGCAUAAAUGGUUUUGAACACUUAUUUUUUUUCUUCUGUAAUCAAAGCCAGAUGUAUAUAUAUUUUUUUCCUAUCAUGAAAAAGCAAAGAACUUAGAGUACACUUCUUCAAAGUCUAAGAAUGCUGUAAAAAUGCAUCCAAGUAGAUCUUUGCAAUAAAAUUUUAUCUUGAAAAUGAUAACCAAAACUGGCAUAUUAUGAGUUUGGAUCAUUUACCUUCUGAACAUGACAAUCCUAUCAUGUAGUUGUUGUGAAAGAAUUUCUGAUAAACUGAGGGGCACUUAUAGCUGGUCCCAGUAGAAAACAACAGGAGAAUAGGACUUAAAUUAUCAUAGGUGUUUGUUUUUUUUUCUGGGUAAGGCAUGUUAUGUGUAUUAUAGACAAAUAGCAAAAGCUGAAGAUGGAUUUUGGAAGCGUUGCAGAUGAAACUUAGAGUACUUGGACAUCUUGAUAGAAGGAAUCCCUCAUGGCACCUGCUCACUUAGCACAUUUCCUUCCUCCACCAGCAGAGUCAAGGCCUUUCUUUUUCUGAGUCCACGAUACAGUACUUCGAAAGGAGCAGAGAAGUUGAAAGAGCUUAGUGGGCUGUAGGAGGAUUCCCAGUUUAGUCACUCAUUACUAAGAAGUUGAAGAGCAUGCCAGUUCUAGGAGUGACACCAAUACAGAAGAAAUGUAACUGGUUGAGUAGAGGUAUUUAUAAUGAUUUCUGGUAUGAAAAUAUAUUUAGUUAUUCCCAGGUGUACCUUCUUUGGAAUGAGUUGCUUUGAAAAUGCUCAGUGGCGCCCAACCUCAACUGCAGACUGAGAGGAGUUAUCUGCCCAUUUUAAUUCCAAGUAACAAGUGUCAAAUGCACCAGUACCUGCUUACAUGACAUUAUUCCAACAUACCCUGAGACAUUUAAAUGUGAGCAUGCAGUGAAUGCACACCUAACCUGAAUUUUAACAAAGGAUGUGGAAGUAACAUAAAUUUUGUCAGAGGAAAGAAACUUUAAUUUGAGAGAACAUUCAGCUGUCUUAGCAAUGAAUGGUGUCUCUGUUUAAGUUCCCUGCCGUGCUUACACUUGUGCAGGAGUUGCCUAUAGUGACAGUGAAGCACUGUGCAAACUAAAAGUGCUGUGUUUAAAAAUAGUUCAGGUGUGCAAUUAAGACGGAAUCAUAAUGCAUGCACUCAGAAGAACUGGAUAAAAGUUGCGCAAGCAGUAAUUUUGAUAUUUUGAUGUUUCCUAUGUUUGCUUUCUUUAACCAGUUCCUGGAUGCAUUGUUGGUUUGCUUGUCCUUAGGUGUGAUCUCAAACCCUGCUUGAAUUAAUCAGUUUUCAAAUACAGCGUAUUGAUGAGUGAGCAAAAAAAGUUAGUGCAGCUCAAUGCUGGCAGCACCUGGAGAGCAAGCGCCAAUGAGUAUGCUGAAGGACAGAGACUGUGAUGAGCACUAUCAGUGUGCAACGUGAACUGAUGGCAGUAAAUGUAAAGCGUGCCAUGGAUUAGCUAAUCUUCCAGAAGAACCCCAGCAUCUGCAUGCCAUGGCAAGUGAUCUGAGGAGCUCCAGCUGGUGCCUUUGGGAAGGGGGAGAUGCCCCACACUGACUCUUCCCAGCUGAGGCUGAACUGCACUGCUGAAAUGCAGGAAGCAUGGAGGCUCCUUGGUUUGCAG
Gallus gallus (chicken) is the source of this 2963-nucleotide long non-coding RNA. The record is from Ensembl. Lineage: Eukaryota; Metazoa; Chordata; Aves; Galliformes; Phasianidae.